UAAUACAUGAUGAACAUUUCUUAGAAAUAGUGGUCAAUUACAUCAUAUAAUUUGGUUCUGUACAAAAGAAAGUUUCCUAUUUUGUGUAUAUAUCUUAAACACCACCCCUUGCGAUGAACUCUUUAUCUUUGUCCACAAAUUUGGUUAUUCCCCAUCCAGCAUGUCAGUUGCAGUCUCCUGAAGCAUAGGAACAACAUAAGUUAAAACAAUCUGGUCAAACAUACACUAAGAAUAUACUCAUGGGCAUUAUCGACAGAUUAACCAAAGUUAUAGUCCUUUUCUAAAAAAGACCAAAGUUAUAGUGCAACAGGUUCUAUGUGAAGUCAAGUUACCAUGCGGUUUUUACGAACCAAUGGAAAAAAUGUGAAACACUGACGCAAGAAUUAACCUGAGAAGGUCGUUCUUCAAGCUGACUCCUAGC
RNAcentral lists this long non-coding RNA (421 nucleotides) under Triticum aestivum (bread wheat). Its description in RNAcentral is "long non-coding RNA (TAES_LNC012742)". The record is from RNAcentral. Lineage: Eukaryota; Viridiplantae; Streptophyta; Magnoliopsida; Poales; Poaceae.